This 403-nucleotide ribosomal RNA is filed under the name uncultured bacterium. Its description in RNAcentral is "partial 16S ribosomal RNA". It matches the Rfam family "Bacterial small subunit ribosomal RNA", at positions 28 to 526 of the family's 1533-position model. The record is from RNAcentral.
GACGAACGCUGGCGGCGUGCCUAAUACAUGCAAGUCGAACGCAGUGGGGACGGGUGAGUAACACGUGGGUAACCUCCCAUCAGAGGGGAUAACACUUGGAAACAGGUGCUAAACCGAUACUGAUGGAUGGACCCGCUGUGCAUUAGCGAGUUGGUGAGGUAACGGCUCACCAAGGCAACUAUGCAUAGCCGAUCUGAGAGGGGGUUCGGCCCAACUGGGACUGAUACACGGCACAGACUCCGACGGGAGGCAGAAGGAGGGAAUCGUCGGCAAUGGACGAAAGUCUGACCGAGCAACGCCGCGUGAGUGAAGAAGGUUUUCGGAUCGUAAAACUCUGUUGUUAGAGAAGCGGUAUCUAACCAGAAAGCCACGGCUAACUCCGUGCCAGCAGCCGCGGUAAUUC